Molecule: transfer RNA, 72 nt
Filed under: Bos taurus (domestic cattle)
Lineage: Eukaryota; Metazoa; Chordata; Mammalia; Artiodactyla; Bovidae
Also listed under: 4 other names
Rfam family: tRNA
About the family: Transfer RNA (tRNA) molecules are approximately 80 nucleotides in length.
Source: Rfam by way of RNAcentral
UCCCUGGUAGCUCAGCUGGUAAAGAAUCUGCCUGCAGUGCAGGAGAUCUGGGUUCGAUCCCUGGGUUGGGAA